RNAcentral lists this ribosomal RNA (253 nucleotides) under uncultured bacterium. RNAcentral describes it as "partial 16S ribosomal RNA". It matches the Rfam family "Bacterial small subunit ribosomal RNA", at positions 524 to 776 of the family's 1533-position model. The record is from RNAcentral.
UACGUAGGUGGCAAGCGUUGUCCGGAAUUAUUGGGCGUAAAGCGCGCGCAGGUGGUUUCUUAAGUCUGAUGUGAAAGCCCACGGCUCAACCGUGGAGGGUCAUUGGAAACUGGGGAACUUGAGUGCAGGAGAGAAGAGUGGAAUUCCACGUGUAGCGGUGAAAUGCGUAGAGAUGUGGAGGAACACCAGUGGCGAAGGCGGCCUGCUGGGCAGUAGCUGACACUGAGGCGCGACAGCGUGGGGAGCAAACAGG